GAGGCCUACCAUGGUGGUAACGGGUAACGGGGUGUUAGGGCACGACACCGGAGAGGGAGCCUGAGAAACGGCUACCACAUCCAAGGAUGGCAGCAGGCGCGCAAAUUACCCAAUCCCGACACGGGGAGGUAGUGACAAUAAAUAACAAUACGGGGUUCUUUCGGAUCUCGUAAUUGGAAUGAGUACAAUUUAAAUCUCUUAACGAGGAACAAUUGGAGGGCAAGUCUGGUGCCAGCAGCCGCGGUAAUUCCAGCUCCAAUAGCGUAUAUUAAAGUUGUUGCAGUUAAAAAGCUCGUAGUUGAAUUUCGGGGUUAGUAGGUUGGUCAUGCCUCUGGUAUGUACUGGUCUCACUGAUUCCUCCUUCCUUAUGAACCGUAAUGCCAUUAAUUUGGUGUUGCGGGGAAUUUGGACUGUUACUUUGAAAAAAUUAGAGUGUUUAAAGCAAGCUAACGCUUGAAUACAUUAGCAUGGAAUAAUGAAAUAGGACGUUCGAUCUUAUUUUGUUGGUUUCUAGGAUUGACGUAAUGAUUAAUAGGGAUAGUUGGGGGCAUUAGUAUUCAAUUGUCAGAGGUGAAAUUCUUGGAUUUAUUGAAGACUAACUACUGCGAAAGCAUUUGCCAAGGAUGUUUUCAUUAAUCAAGAACGAAAGUUAGGGGAUCGAAGACGAUCAGAUACCGUCGUAGUCUUAACCAUAAACUAUGCCGACUAGGGAUCGGAU
Molecule: ribosomal RNA, 718 nt
Filed under: uncultured fungus
Lineage: Eukaryota; Fungi
Description: SSU rRNA
Rfam family: Eukaryotic small subunit ribosomal RNA
Source: RNAcentral